UACGUAGGGUGCAAGCGUUGUCCGGAAUUAUUGGGCGUAAAGAGCUCGUAGGCGGUCUGUCGCGUCGAAUGUGAAAAUCCGAGGCUCAACCUCGGACCUGCAUUCGAUACGGGCAGACUAGAGUUCGGUAGGGGAGAUUGGAAUUCCUGGUGUAGCGGUGGAAUGCGCAGAUAUCAGGAGGAACACCGAUGGCGAAGGCAGAUCUCUGGGCCGUAACUGACGCUGAGGAGCGAAAGCGUGGGGAUCAAACAGG
RNAcentral lists this ribosomal RNA (253 nucleotides) under uncultured bacterium. Its description in RNAcentral is "partial 16S ribosomal RNA". It matches the Rfam family "Bacterial small subunit ribosomal RNA", at positions 524 to 776 of the family's 1533-position model. The record is from RNAcentral.